Small nuclear RNA from Erinaceus europaeus (western European hedgehog), 107 nucleotides. The record is from Ensembl. Lineage: Eukaryota; Metazoa; Chordata; Mammalia; Eulipotyphla; Erinaceidae.
GUGCUCACUUCGGCAGCACAUAUUACUAAAAUUGGAACGAUUCAGAGAAGAUUAGCAUGGCCCCUGCACAAGGAUGACAUGUGAAUAUUGAAUACUAACAAUCAACU